CUGAGGGAUGGGGAAGGGGCCAGGCGUCCCGCUCGUGACGCAUAACGCGCCUGUGACGUCACGGCGGCACGGGAGCGUGUGUCCCGAUGUCAUAAGGGCCUUUUUUUUUUUCAAGGAAAAGAAUCAAUAAAAACGGGAAUGGGAAGAAGUCAACCAACCAGGCUUUGGGUUAGUAGUUCCGUAUAAAACAGAAAGGACCACAGCCUGCGUGAAGCCAACAGAUGAGCAGGGGACUCGAACAAAUAUGAGGAAAGAAGAAAACGGGGAACAUUGGAAAGAACAAAUACGGGGAAAGAAGAAACGGGGAACAUUGGUUACACAUUGGGAGAGCUCAAAGAAAUGGAUGCUGAACUAAGAGAAUAAAAAGAAGACCUUCUUUGGAGAGGGCACAGUAAGAGAGGCCCUCUCAGAGAAGGAGGCCUCCAAGACGAGUUGAAGAAGGAAAAGGGAGGAGCCGCCGUUCCUGGAGGAAUCUCAAGGCAACAAGUCUAGCACGUGCAAAGGCUCUGAGACAGGACUAGCCUUAGGCAAUUGAGAAAGGAUAAGCCAGUAUGGCCGCAGCGCUGUAAGAUGGGACUCAGUUGAGUGGCCCCCGUUCAGCAGCACCUCAGGAAAGGCGCCCAGACAUCCCGGUGGGCCCUGCUGGGCUCAAGGUGCAAACCCCUCAGCCUCCGUGGCUAUCUGGAAGCCUCUGGACAUCCGGGAGCCUGAGAACUCAUUAUCCUGCUUUGGAACUGCCCCGGUUCUAAUUGGAAGAAAACAAAGGCUGAAGCUAAUCACUGCAACCUCCUCUUUUUACAUACAGGGAAACUGACCCCCUGGGAGGAGGAAGUAUUUUUUUCCCCCAAAAUCAAGUUAUUGGCAGGUUUUCUGGCUCCCCGCCUGGCAUCUGCCACACUGAUGUUGCCUAACUCAGCCCUGAACACAGUUGAGGCAUUCAGUGAACACUUAUUGACUGACUGAUGGGCUUUGUGUGUGGAGACCAUGUUUCCCGACUCCAUCCGCAGGACAUGAGGUCUGUCUGCCUAUAUGCAGCUGGUCUCUGCUGACCCUCUGUCCGUCCAGCUCCUUGGACUGAGGAUAUACAGUUGUAGAAAAGGAGGAAAGUUAGAGGAAGCCUUUCAUAAUACCUGUAAGCAAAAAGUUUCCUUUAGUUCCAAAGGGCACUCAUAGUUUUCUUCCUUUUUUCUUCUUCCUUUUACUAUUUUAUGUAUGUAUGUAUGUAUGUAUUUUUUUUUCCUUUGGAGACAAGGUCUCCCUCUGUAGUCCAGCCUGGCCUUGAACUCACAUAGUGAGCCCCAAGCUGCCCUCGAACUCAGGGUGAUCCUCCUGCCUCAGCCAUCUCAGUACUGGGAUUACAAGCGUGUGCCACCACACCCAGCUCUUCUACCUUUUAAUUUGUUGUAUUUGGUCAAGAAAGAUGACUUUGGCGCCGGGGAUUUAGCUCAGUGGUUUUGCUGCCUGCUGCGCAAGCGCAAGGACCAGAGUUCAAUCCCCCGUACCAAAAAAAAAGAAAAGAAAAGAAAAUCGAUAUGGACCUCCCUGGGCUGGCGUCAGGCUUGUCAAUGAAGUGCGUGGGAGGGCUGGUGCAGGAGAGCCACAUUAGGUUUCCCCACUCCCACCUCUCCUGUGAUAUUUGUGGGCUAAAGAGGAUAUCUGCUAUGGAGAGGGCAGUGCAUGUAUGAGCCAAGCCAGGAGACCUCACUCUCAAUGGGGACAUUGUUUCUCCCUGGGCAGGCAAUCUCCUGUUACACAGUAUCAGGAAUUGUUUGGAAAGAACAAUUUGAGAACAGAUAAUAGCCUUCACAUAAUUGAACCUUCAGAUCAUCUCGGCCCCGGGAUUAGGAUUCUUUCUCUCCGGUGGACAUUGGUAGAAUUAGUCCUCAGCAUUCCCAGGUGGAGGAACUGGGAGAACGUGUGUUGAUGUGGUUAGAGAUGCCCUCAGCCUGCCCUCCGAUCCUGGGUGGAGGCGCUGGAGGGAUCAGUCACUCCCCAGGGCCUCAGGUGAGCAGCCGCGCCCUGUGAUGGCCCAGCCUGACGUCACCACCAUGGUGGCUGUCUUGUACCAUCACCUACAUGCCCCAGAUGACCUACACACUACUCACCGGAAGAAAAAAAAUUGGGAAGACGAUGUACAGGAAGUGGGUUAUUUGAUUUGAAUUUAACAUUUGUGGUUUGGGGAUUUUUUUCCUUCCCUCAUUUAUUUACUUAUUUUUUUUUUCUCAUGCCAGUUUGGUUGAAUGAACUAUUUCAGGCAUACAAAAGAGAGACUGUAAUACUCGCAUCCUCACCAGGUUAAGGAAUAAACAUCAGGGGGGAAGAUGAAGCUCAUACUCCUCCAUCCCAUUUCCUUUCUCCCUCCCUGGAGGUAGCUAAGGUCCUGUUUCAUUACCUUGUACAAAUAUAUCUAUCAUGUUUAUAAUAAGAAUACAUAUACAUUCUGCCAUUUGCUUUUUUCAUCAGCGUUGGGUUUUGUUUUAUUUAUUUUUUUGUACCAGAGAUCAAACUUGGGACCUUGCACUUUUGAGGCAGGUGGCAAAACCACUGAGCUAAAUCCCCAGCCCCUAUUUUUUUGUUUUUUUGAGACAGGGUCUCACUGUGUAGCCCAGGCUGGCCUAAAACUUCAAGCAAUCCUCCUGUCUCAGCCUCCCGAGUGCUGGGAUUACAGGCAUGGCACCAUGUCCGGCAUCAUUUCUGGGAUAUAGGCUUGCUGAUUUAUAUGGUUUAAAACAUACCCAUGUGGUUGUAUGGUUGUUUAUUUCUUUGUUUUGCAGCACUGGGGACUGAACCCAGGGCCUUCACUCUGAGCCACCUCCCCAGCCCUCUUUUAUUUUUCAUUUUGAGACAGUUUCUUGCUAAGUCACUAAGUUGCCUAGGCUGGGCUCAAACUCGGGAUUUUCCUGCCUCAGCCUCCCAGACUCCUUGAACUCCAGCCAGGCACCACCAUUCCUGACUUCAUUUUUAUAACUAUAUGUGUACAUGUAUAAAGAUACAUGUACACGUGCAACAGCACACAGUUGUCAUGUUUGUAUUCCAUUGAUAUGUGUGAUAAUUCCUUUUUCUGUUAAUGAGACCACAGGGUGUUUACCUUUCUAGCUUUAUUUGACCUUGCUAAAUUGCUUUCUAAAAUCGUUGUACUAAUAAUCAUUAUGAUAAAGCAUACUUAAAACUUAUUUACCAUUAUUUUAAGAACAAUCAGGUUCAUGUUUAGAGCCUGGGGUUUUUUUGUUGUUGUUUUUGGUACCGGGAUCGGACUCAGGACCUUGUGUGGCAGAACCAUUGAGCUAAAUCCCCGGCCCUUACCAUUAUUUUUAACUGGUAUUAAGCACAGUUCAGUGGCCCUCAGGACAUUGGGAUGGUUGUAUAACUAUCACCAUCAUCCCCGUGUGUGGUGGUGCAUGCUUGUAAUCUCAGCACUCGGGAGGGAAGGCUGAGGCAGGAGGACUGCAAGUUCGAGCCCAGUUUGGGCAACUUAGUAAGUUUAAGAUCAGCCUGAAGGCCCAGGGAUUUAGCUCAGUGGCACUGUGCCUGCCUGGCAAGGUCGUGAGUUUGAUUCCUGGUACCAAAAAAAAUAAUUAAAAAAAAACAAAACCAAGAUCAGCCUGAACUGCAUAGCGAGAUCCUAUCUCAAAAUACAAAGGAACAAACAAACAAGAAAGAAUGUUGAGUUUGUGGACCAAGAAAUAAAUUCAGCUCUAAAAAAUCACUUCCCAUCUUGGCAACACUGAAAACAGCCCACAGGCAGUGGUUACAAUCCUUGAAGUGGUUUAUAGACAUGACUUCCAGGCAUGGGGUUUGCAGGCUCUCUAGGGAGAAACCAAAAACUGAAACUCUCUCAAGGUGAUAUUUUUUAAAAAAGAAAUUUUAUAGGGUUUUUUUUAGUUGUAAAAGUAAUUUGCAUCUUUCAUUUCUUAACUGGGUGAUAGGCUAUUUCCUAUCCCUUUUCGCAAAUCUGAGAUAUCUUGUGACAAAACACACAGAUUAACACUCAGGUGCUUAAAGCAAUAUUUGCUCACUCUGAAAGCUGUCCUGGGGACGUAGCUCGGUGGCAGGGCACUUGCCUAGCAUGUUGGAGCCCUGGGUUGGGUCCCUAGUGCUGCAAAAAAAAAAAAAAAAAAA
Non-coding RNA from Heterocephalus glaber (naked mole-rat), 4119 nucleotides. The record is from RefSeq and is a predicted model, not a curated record. Lineage: Eukaryota; Metazoa; Chordata; Mammalia; Rodentia; Bathyergidae.